This 85-nucleotide transfer RNA is filed under the name Alphaproteobacteria bacterium RIFOXYD12_FULL_60_8. Its description in RNAcentral is "tRNA-Leu". It matches the Rfam family "tRNA". From Rfam's summary of the family: Transfer RNA (tRNA) molecules are approximately 80 nucleotides in length. Their secondary structure includes four short double-helical elements and three loops (D, anti-codon, and T loops). Lineage: Bacteria; Pseudomonadati; Pseudomonadota; Alphaproteobacteria. The record is from RNAcentral.
GCGGGCGUGGCGGAACUGGUAGACGCGCUGGAUUUAGGUUCCAGUGGCUUAGGCCGUGGGGGUUCAAGUCCCUUCGCCCGCACCA